GUCGUAGUGAGGUGCAGCAGCGGCGGUAAUACGAAGGGGGGUAGGGUUGUGCGGAAUUACUGGGCGUAAAUCGAACGUAGGCGGUUAUUUAAGGCAGGGGUGAAAUCCCGCAGCUCAACUGCGGAACUGCCUUUGAUACUGGGUAUCUUGAGUAUGGAAGAGGUAAGUGGAAUUCCGAGUGUAGAGGUGAAAUUCGUAGAUAUUCGGAGGAACACCAGUGGCGAAGGCGGCUUACUGGUCCAUUACUGACGCUGAGGUGCGAAAGCGUGGGGAGCAAACAGGAUUAGAUACCCCAGUAGC
This 300-nucleotide ribosomal RNA is filed under the name uncultured Bacillus sp. RNAcentral's name for it is "bacterial SSU rRNA". It matches the Rfam family "Bacterial small subunit ribosomal RNA", at positions 495 to 794 of the family's 1533-position model. Lineage: Bacteria; Bacillati; Bacillota; Bacilli; Caryophanales; Bacillaceae. The record is from RNAcentral.